UGUUACUGCUCCCACUGGAAGGCUAUUCCAGGUAUCUACUACCCUUUCUAUAGCACUGUUACUGCUCCCACUGGAAGGCUAUUCCAGGUAUCUACUACCCUUUCUAUAUCACUGUUACUGCUCCCACUGGAGGCUAUUCCAGGUAUCUACUACCCUUUCUAUAUCACUGUUACUGCUCCCACUGGAAGGCUAUUCCAGGUAUCUACUACCCUUUCU
Non-coding RNA from Pelobates cultripes (western spadefoot toad), 216 nucleotides. The record is from the annotation of a GenBank genome assembly. Lineage: Eukaryota; Metazoa; Chordata; Amphibia; Anura; Pelobatidae.